CCCAGUCAGUCUUUUCAACCGCCGGUGGAAUCAUCGACUCAGGCACUGUCAUCACCCGGUUGCCACCUGCGGCAUACUCUGCUUUAAGGUCUGCCUUCAGGCAAUUGAUGACCAGGUAUCCGACAGCGCCUGCAGUAUCAAUACUUGACACUUGCUACGAUUUUACCAACUAUAAUACGAUCAGCAUACCAAAGAUUGGCUUUUUCUUUAAUGGUGGAGUUGAGUUGGAUAUUGAUGCUACCGGAAUUCUAUAUGCUAAUAAGGUGUCUCAAGUGUGCUUGGCC
RNAcentral lists this unclassified non-coding RNA (284 nucleotides) under Hevea brasiliensis (rubber tree). Lineage: Eukaryota; Viridiplantae; Streptophyta; Magnoliopsida; Malpighiales; Euphorbiaceae. The record is from RNAcentral.